Molecule: ribosomal RNA, 219 nt
Filed under: uncultured bacterium
Lineage: Bacteria
Description: partial 16S ribosomal RNA
Rfam family: Bacterial small subunit ribosomal RNA
Source: RNAcentral
CGUGAGGAACCUGCCUCGGAGUGGGGAAUAACAUACCGAAAGGUGUGCUAAUACCGCAUAAUGCAGUUGAGUCGCAUGACUCUGACUGCCAAAGAUUUAUCGCUCUGAGAUGGCCUCGCGUCUGAUUAGCUAGUUGGCGGGGUAACGGCCCACCAAGGCGACGAUCAGUAGCCGGACUGAGAGGUUGACCGGCCACAUUGGGACUGAGACACGGCCCAG